Molecule: ribosomal RNA, 2752 nt
Filed under: Thismia javanica
Lineage: Eukaryota; Viridiplantae; Streptophyta; Magnoliopsida; Dioscoreales; Thismiaceae
Description: 23S ribosomal RNA
Rfam family: Bacterial large subunit ribosomal RNA (bases 314-2752)
Source: RNAcentral
AUCUAAUAGAAAAAAAAUUAUCAUAGUAAUUAUGAAAAAAAAAGAUAUAUUUUUAAAAUUAUAUUUAAUUUUUUAUGCAAAUAAAAUGUUAUAUUAGUUUAUAUAUAGAUAUAGUAAAAGUAUUAGGUGAAUUUGGUGGUAUUCCAUACCUUAGAUGGCAUUAGUCCAGUAUCCAAAAAUAUAAAUAAAAUAUUUUAUUUGUAUGUAUGAUGGUAAAUCCGUAUGAAUUUUUUUAAAACAAAAAAAAAACACCUUUAAAAAAUAAAAUACUACUAAGUAUUUGAUAGCGAAAAAGUACUGUAGAGGAAAAAUUAUAUAAUAUAUAUAUAAUUAUAAUAUUUUGUGAAAAAGAAUAUAAAUCUUGAGUUAUCAAUCAGUAGUAAAAUAUAUAAUAUUAAUAUUAUAUAUUUUACUUAAUUCUUGUUGAAGAAUGAGCCGGCUACUUUUAUACAAUGGCUUGAUUAAGUAAAAACUGUAAUCAUAGAAAAAUCAAGUUUUUUUUUAAUUGUUAUAUGUCAUUGUUUAUGUACCCGAACCUGGGUGAUCUAUCCAUGACCAGGAUGAAACGAAACUAAAAUUUAAUUUAAGUGGAAGUCUGAACCGACUGAUAUUGAAUAACCAGCGAAUGAGUUUUGGUUAGUAGUGAAAUACCAAUCGAGCCUAGAGCUAGCUGGUUCUCCUCGAAAUGUAUUUAGGUACAGCAGUUUUUAAAGGUGUGUUGUGUUAUUUAUUAGGUGUAAAAAGUUUUAUAUUUUAUAUAUAAACUAAUAAUACUAAAAAACCUAGUGAGAUGAUGAGGGGUAAGCUUUAUCAUCAAGAGGGAAACAGCCCAGAUCAUCAGAAAAGGCUCCAAAAAAAUUAUUAUUAGUAAAAUAAGGAAAUAAAAUUAUAUGGACAAUCAGAGGGUUUGCCUGGAAGCAGAAAUUCCCUAAAAGAAUGCGUAAUAGCUCACUGAUCAAAUUAAUUUUGUGCUGAAUAUAUAUAUAAGGAUAUAAGUGUUUGCCGAAACUUUGGGAUUAAAAAAAUCAGUAGGGGAGCGUUCUGACGACAUUAUAUGAUAAUUUUUCUUAAUAAAAUAAUUAUAUUUAUAUAUGUUUAUUUUCAGAAGUGAAAAUGUUGGCUUAAGUAACGCAAACAAUGGUUUUUAUAAAUCCAAAAACCCCAAAAACCUAAGGAUUCCUUUUCAAUAAAAUAUAAAUUAUAUAUUUUUAAGGGUGAGUCAGGACUUAAGAUCAGACCAAAUGAAAAGGUGUAAUCGAUGGAUAAAACAGGUAAACAAAAUCCUGUAUUUUUUUUUUUAAUAUUAUAAUUAUUUAGUUACGAGAAACGAAAUAAAUAAUUAUAAAUUAUGGAUUUAAGAUUUUAAGGUGAAAUAAUAAAGAUUAAUAAAGUAGAGAAAAUAUAUUAUUUUAAAAUUAUACCUAAAUUAAAAUAAAAUUAAGUAUUAAGUAUGAUGAGUACUAAAAAAAAAGUUAUGAAUAUUAAUAUUAAUUAUAUAUAUUUAAUAUUUCCAAGAAAAUCUUGAAUAACUUUUUUUUUGAAAAAAAAAAACCUGUACCUGAAACCUACAUAGGUGGGUAGGUAAAUAAUAAUACCUAGGGAAUCGAGAUAACUAUCUUUAAGGAACUCGGCAAAAUAACCUCAUAACUUUUGGAAAAGGGGUUCCCUAAACUAAUUUAAAAGGGUUGCAGUGAAUAGAUCCAAACGACUGUUUAUCAAAAACACAAGUCUCUGCAAAGUCGUAAGACUACGUAUUGGGGCUGACACCUGCCCAGUGCCAAAAAAUAAAAAUAGGUAGGUUACUUUAUAACGAGUAAAUAUAAAUUAUCUAAAUUACUAUUGGUAAACGGCGGCUGUAACUAUAACGGUCCUAAGGUAGCGAAAUUCCUUGUCGGGUAAGUUCCGACCCGCACGAAAGGUGUAACGAUUUGGGUGCUGUCUCAGGGAUAGACUCGGUGAAAUAGACAUGUCUGUGAAGAUGCGGACUACUUAAACUUGGACAGAAAGACCCUAUGAAACUUUACUCUAUUUUUGGUAUUGAUUUAUUUCUCUGUGUAUAAUUAUUUGUGGUAUCAUGGAUAUAUAUUAUAUAAAACAUAAUUAUAAAAAUAUUUUAUACCAUACCACUCUUGAAAAAUAAAUUUUUAUUUUACCUUAACCUUAUGUCAAAACUUACGGUCCAAGGGACAGUUCAAAAAAUAUAGUUUAUAUGGGGCGUAAACCUAAAAAAAAAUAACAAGUGGGUGUGCAAAAGGUUUUCCUAACAAAAAAGUGUUUUGAGUAAAAAGACAAAAGGAUAACUUGACUGCAAAAUCUACCUUUUGAGCAGGGAUUAAAGUCGGCCUUAGUGAUCUGAGGAUUCCUAGUGUGUAGGUCUUUACUAAACGGAAAAAGUUACUCUAGGGAUAACAGGCUUAUCUUUUUUAGGAGUUCAUAUCCUAAAAAAGGUUUGGCACCUCGAUGUCGGCUCUUCGCGACCUGGGGCUGUAGAAUUUUGUUCCAAGGGUUGGGUUGUUCGCCCAUUAAAGCGGUAUGUGAGCUGGGUUCAGAACGUCGUGAGACAGUUCGGUCCAUAUCUGGUUUAGGCGUUAGAGCAUUGUGUGGAUAUACUUCUUAGUACGAGAGGACCUGGAAAAAAUACCUAUGAUGUACUAGUUAUUAUGCCUAUGGUAAACACUGGUUAGUUAAGUAUAUAGAGAUAAUAGAUGAAAGCAUAUAAGUUUUUUUAAGCUCAUCUCAAGAUGAGUGCUCU